UAAUACGGAGGAUGCAAGCGUUAUCCGGAUUUAUUGGGUUUAAAGGGUACGUAGGCGGAAAAUUAAGUCAGUAGUGAAAUCCUGCAGCUUAACUGUAGAACUGUUAUUGAUACUGGUUUUCUUGAAUAUAGUUGAGGUAGGCGGAAUGUGUAAUGUAGCGGUGAAAUGCUUAGAUAUUACACAGAACACCGAUUGCGAAGGCAGCUUACUAAGCUAUGAUUGACGCUGAGGUACGAAAGCGUGGGGAGCGAACAGGAUUAGAUACCCUGGUAGUCCACGCCGUAAACGAUGAUCACUCGUUGUUGGCAAUACAUCGUCAGCGACUGAGCGAAAGCAUUAAGUGAUCCACCUGGGGAGUACGCUCGCAAGAGUG
RNAcentral lists this ribosomal RNA (373 nucleotides) under uncultured Bacteroidota bacterium. Its description in RNAcentral is "bacterial SSU rRNA". It matches the Rfam family "Bacterial small subunit ribosomal RNA", at positions 521 to 896 of the family's 1533-position model. The record is from RNAcentral. Lineage: Bacteria; Pseudomonadati; Bacteroidota.